This 422-nucleotide ribosomal RNA is filed under the name Phymata lindigiana. RNAcentral describes it as "partial 28S ribosomal RNA". It matches the Rfam family "Eukaryotic large subunit ribosomal RNA", at positions 721 to 1110 of the family's 3401-position model. The record is from RNAcentral. Lineage: Eukaryota; Metazoa; Arthropoda; Insecta; Hemiptera; Phymatidae.
AAAUUUUAUUUUUUAAAGAAAGAUGUGUAAUUUUUUUUAAAAAAAAAAUUACAUCACAUUCCUGGGGCGCUUUAAAUUCUUAAUUGAAUUGAGGCGCACCUAUAGUGUACACAAUAAUACCCGAAAGAUGGUGAACUAUGCCUGGCCAGGACGAAGCUAGGGGAAACCCUGGUGGAGGUUCGAAGCGAUUCUGACGUGCAAAUCGAUCGCCGGAGCUGGGUAUAGGGGCGAAAGACCAAUCGAACCAUCUAGUAGCUGGUUCUCUCUGAAGUUUCCCUCAGGAUAGCUAACGCUCACUUUAUAAAGAUUCUCAUCCGGUAGAGCGAAUGAUUAGAGGUAUUGGGGUCGAAACGGCCUCAACCUAUUCUCAAACUCCCAAUAGAUGAGAACCCCGGCUUUCUUAAAAAUGAAGCCGUGGGAAA